CUGGCAUUUAUAAAAUAAACCAUAUAUGAUUAAUGAAAUGAAAUGUGUUGUGAGCAAAGCACGUCUUUAUAAAGGCAAUCCAUGACAUUUAGUUUAUCAUAUACAUCCUUACAAAUUGAGAAAUAUUCUGAAUCAUUGUUCACAUUAAAAGUGCCAUUUCCUCAACUUAAAAAAAGGUGUAAGAGUAUUCAUAUUGUUGCAAAGAUUAACAUCAUGCAGCCUUUUUUUCAACCCUUAUUGGGACUAAAAAUAAUAUGAUAAAGGAAGAAGAAUAGACACCCAAGAUGGGGCUCCAUUAGGAUACCCCCUGUAAGGUCACAAGGUCACAUUCCAAUUUUGCUUCGGUCACCAAAUGACUUUUAAGCAAACUAUAAAAGUCAACCUGAUCUGAUUUUCAAUUUUGAACAUUUUACAAAAACCA
RNAcentral lists this long non-coding RNA (421 nucleotides) under Mytilus galloprovincialis (Mediterranean mussel). Lineage: Eukaryota; Metazoa; Mollusca; Bivalvia; Mytilida; Mytilidae. The record is from RNAcentral.